RNAcentral lists this ribosomal RNA (383 nucleotides) under uncultured eukaryote. RNAcentral's name for it is "partial 18S ribosomal RNA". It matches the Rfam family "Eukaryotic small subunit ribosomal RNA", at positions 592 to 976 of the family's 1831-position model. The record is from RNAcentral.
CAAUAGCGUAUAUUUAAGUUGCUGCAGUUAAAAAGCUCGUAGUUGGAUUUCUGGUGGGAGCGAUCGGUCUGGCGCUUAGCGCGAGUACUUGCAUCGUCUCCGGCCAUCCUUGGGGAGAGUCUGUCUGGCAUUAGGUUGUCGGGCAGAGGAUCCUCAUCGUUUACUGUGAAAAAAUUAGAGUGUUCAAAGCAGGCUUAUGCCGUUGAAUAUAUUAGCAUGGAAUAAUAAGAUAGGACUUUGGUACUAUUUUGUUGGUUUGCGCACCAAAGUAAUGAUUAAUAGGGACAGUUGGGGGUAUUCGUAUUCCAUUGUCAGAGGUGAAAUUCUUGGAUUUUUGGAAGACGAACUACUGCGAAAGCAUUUACCAAGGAUGUUUUCAUUAA